RNA transcript from Triticum dicoccoides, 1587 nucleotides. RefSeq lists it as uncharacterized. The record is from RefSeq and is a predicted model, not a curated record. The transcript has 7 exons. Lineage: Eukaryota; Viridiplantae; Streptophyta; Magnoliopsida; Poales; Poaceae.
CCUCCGCCGCUACACAUCCACGCCGUCGAGAAGCACUUCGGCACCGCCGCGGCCGGUAGCGAAGACUUCAGCGGCCUCCUCUCCGCCGAUACCGACGACCUGAUCGCCCUCGAGUUCCCAACCUGUCUGCCCUAGAGAACCGGCGCCGCCGCGGCCGGCAGCGACGACUUCGGCGGCCUCUUCUCCGCCGACACCGCCGACCAACUCGCCCUCGAGUUCCCCACCUGCAACCACUUCGAUGGGUUCCAGAAGGCGACCAAGGAGAUGGUGAGCAACAAGAAUGGGACGAACACGCUCUCCUUCAUCUUCGACAAGGCUUCAUCGUCGCCGCCGACUCCCGGGCCAGCAUGGGCGGGUACACAUGGUUCGGUCUUGGUACUAUGUUGAUAAGCGAGGGUGCAAGGCUCAAGGGAAGCCGGUUCUCUAACUCUUUGUAUGCUUAUUGUAUGCUCAUGGUAUCUUGGAUGAGGGUUACAAAUUCAACGUGUCAGUUGCAGUUGAGGAAGUUGAGGAAGCUGCUGAGUUAGCAUGGCGGGCGCGGGCUUUUAUCACGCAACCUUUUGUGAUGGAGCCAGUGGUUGUAUUCAUAUUGGUUAUUUGUCUUGGAUUGGCACAUCCCUGUAGACCAACUGAAGGACCAUGGCUGAAGGAGGUGGAAAAAAAUUUGGUAGAAAUUACCUCACAUGGACAGAUGAAAUGGACACUACACUACUCGAGGUCCUUGUUGAGCAUCACAACAAUGGCGAUCAUGCCCAGAAUGAAUGGAAGUCCCAUGUCUAUAGUGCUGUUAUAGGUAAUGUGCGUGAGAAGUGCUCUGUGACCAUCACAAAGGAAAACAUCAGUUCAAGGUGCAAAACCUUUGAAAAGCACUACGAGGCCAUUAGCAAGAUGCUAUCUCAAAGUGGAUUUGGGUGGGAUUGGGUCAAUAACAAGCUGUCAAUUGAUAGUGAAGAUGUGUGGCUUAAAUAUGUCGCGGCUAACAAGAAAGUAGGAUUUUACAAGAACAGGGUCAUUAAGAAUUGGGAUGCUAUCACCACCAUAUACUCAAAAGAUCAUGCAAAUGGUGAAGGUGCUGUCACUGGUGCUGAAACUGUUGUAGAACCAAUUACGGAACCCAAUGAAGCCUCUCCUGAAGUGCCAAAAAAAAAACAACGACUUGGUGAUGCCAUCCUGUGCCUUCUUGGGGAUAUGAAAGGCUCAUUUCAUGAUGCUUUGAAGUCACUCGAGCCUUUACCUCUGCCCCAAGUUACACCUCCUGCUGAAAUCCUUGCGACACUUGAGAUGAUCCCUGAUCUAGCUCGUGGUGACAUCUUGCGAUCUUAUGGUAAGUUGAUCCUUAGCGAACACUUGUACAAAGCGCUUCUUGAGCUUCCCAUGAACUUCAGGAAGGAAUGGUUGUUGAUGUUGAAUUAGUAGAAUGGCUCUUGAUAGAUAAUAUGUAUGUGUGUUGCUACUCUUAUUUCUCCUAGUUUGUGAGAGACUUCGAACUUGUCCUAAAGUUUCAUUGUUAUGCACAAGACUUGCUAUGUGUUCUGGAUGGUGUGAGACAUGUUAUAAUAUGUAAUGUUGUUGGCAAGGUUAUCAUAA